CUUUGGCCUCCCAAAGUGCUGGGAUUACAGGUGUGAGCCAUCACACCCGGCCCAGUUAUAGAUUUAUUUGUUCUGUCUUCACUCCCAGUGAUUCACUUGACUAGACUUAA
Molecule: unclassified non-coding RNA, 110 nt
Organism: Homo sapiens (human)
Lineage: Eukaryota; Metazoa; Chordata; Mammalia; Primates; Hominidae
Rfam family: Y RNA
About the family: Y RNAs are components of the Ro ribonucleoprotein particle (Ro RNP), in association with Ro60 and La proteins.
Source: Ensembl